AGAGUUUGAUCCUGGCUCAGAUUGAACGCUGGCGGCAUGCCUUACACAUGCAAGUCGAACGGCAGCGCGGGGCAACCUGGCGGCGAGUGGCGAACGGGUGAGUAAUAUAUCGGAACGUACCCUGGAGUGGGGGAUAACGUAGCGAAAGUUACGCUAAUACCGCAUACGAUCUAAGGAUGAAAGCAGGGGACCGCAAGGCCUUGUGCUCCUGGAGCGGCCGAUAUCUGAUUAGCUAGUUGGUGGGGUAAAGGCCUACCAAGGCAUCGAUCAGUAGCUGGUCUGAGAGGACGACCAGCCACACUGGAACUGAGACACGGUCCAGACUCCUACGGGAGGCAGCAGUGGGGAAUUUUGGACAAUGGGCGCAAGCCUGAUCCAGCAAUGCCGCGUGAGUGAAGAAGGCCUUCGGGUUGUAAAGCUCUUUUGUCAGGGAAGAAACGGUGAGGGCUAAUAUCCUUUGCUAUGACGGUACCUGAAGAAUAAGCACCGGCUAACUACGUGCCAGCAGCCGCGGUAAUACGUAGGGUGCAAGCGUUAAUCGGAAUUACUGGGCGUAAAGCGUGCGCAGGCGGUUUUGUAAGUCUGUCGUGAAAUCCCCGGGCUCAACCUGGGAAUUGCGAUGGAGACUGCAAGGCUAGAAUCUGGCAGAGGGGGGUAGAAUUCCACGUGUAGCAGUGAAAUGCGUAGAGAUGUGGAGGAACACCGAUGGCGAAGGCAGCCCCCUGGGUCAAGAUUGACGCUCAUGCACGAAAGCGUGGGGAGCAAACAGGAUUAGAUACCCUGGUAGUCCACGCCCUAAACGAUGUCUACUAGUUGUCGGGUUUUAAUUAACUUGGUAACGCAGCUAACGCGUGAAGUAGACCGCCUGGGGAGUACGGUCGCAAGAUUAAAACUCAAAUGAAUUGACGG
Molecule: ribosomal RNA, 909 nt
Filed under: uncultured bacterium
Lineage: Bacteria
Description: bacterial SSU rRNA
Rfam family: Bacterial small subunit ribosomal RNA
Source: RNAcentral